Molecule: ribosomal RNA, 254 nt
Filed under: uncultured bacterium
Lineage: Bacteria
Description: partial 16S ribosomal RNA
Rfam family: Bacterial small subunit ribosomal RNA
Source: RNAcentral
UACAGAGGUCUCAAGCGUUGUUCGGAUUCAUUGGGCGUAAAGGGUGCGUAGGCGGCGCGGUAAGUCGGGUGUGAAAUUUCGAGGCUUAACUUCGAAACUGCAUUCGAUACUGCCGUGCUUGAGGACUGGAGAGGAGACUGGAAUUUACGGUGUAGCGGUGAAAUGCGUAGAUAUCGUAAGGAAGACCAGUGGCGAAGGCGGGUCUCUGGACAGUUCCUGACGCUGAGGCACGAAGGUCAGGAGGAGCAAACGGG